Non-coding RNA from Coturnix japonica (Japanese quail), 1460 nucleotides. The record is from RefSeq and is a predicted model, not a curated record. Lineage: Eukaryota; Metazoa; Chordata; Aves; Galliformes; Phasianidae.
GAGGCGGCGGGGACCGGGAGCACCGAGAGAGAAGCGCUGGGGUGGAUGAACCGGGGGGUCACAGAGUCACAGAUUCGGGAGGGCAUUUGUCCACCGCGGCGGACACCCCGGGCGGCAGGGAACGUAGCCGGGCCCCGGAGCGGUGCCUGCGGAGCCGGGGAACGGGCAAAGCGCUGCCGAUACAGAGCUGGGGGAGAAGGCUGAGGAGGGCAGCGCGAAGCCGGACAGCGCGGCUCAGCGCGGCCGCUCCCGGAGCUCUGGCGCCGCUUGGCGGCCGCCUCCUCUCCUGGGUGCAGCUCCGGCCCGGCAGCUGAUGGAGGCAAUGGGUGACCGGAUGGCUGCUGGAGAACCGCGCCUUGUGCGAGGAGCAGGUGGUGCGAGGAGCCGAUGGAAUGGGAAGCCUUGGGAAGCCCCUAUAAAGCAGCAGCUCCAACCCAGGCUGCCCCUUCUGUGGGCAAGAGGAACCAUCGCACCGCAUCGCACCUGACUCUGACAUGGGGUUGUGUCCCCCCGUUCCUGCUGGAAGCCACCCCAGGUGUCAGAGCUCUGCAGGCCCAGCAGCCCCCCAUGGUGAGCUCAGCCUCCAUCCCCCCCAUCCAUAGGACUGGGUGAAGCGCCCAAUGGCAGCAUCCACUGCUCUUCUCACCCACCUCCCCCAGUUUUUUGUCCAGCAGGAGUAACAAAAGGAAAAGACCACACUGGGAGAGGAGCCGUGCUGGCCUGGCUUAGUGCUCUGCUCAGCUUCAGUGAGUUUGCGAAACCCAAGGAAGAAGGGUGAAAUAAUUAGCUGGAAUGUGGGGCUUUUGUCCCUGCAUUGUUAUCCCCGAGCAGAUCUGAAACAUUAGACGUCCAGCAGGUGAUGCUUUCAAAUGAAAAACAGUUCCCCCUUUCUCCAACUACUACAUACUUUCCCUAUCUAAUCAGUACUACAGAAUGGGGAGGUGCUGACAAAAGCAGGAAUAGCCGAUGACUUCACCAGUGUGGCAGCAGCUCUCCCUUCACUGUGGGUUUAUGAAGGUAUUUUUGUUGUUUGCUUUAAUUCUGCCUUUCCCUCCUGACCAGGCUGCUGGUUGAGUCCUUGCUGUGACUGUAGCAAACCCGAGCUGCUGCUCUUGCACUCGAGACAAAGCAUUUACAGAUGUGCGUGUACAACGAUGUGCAAACAAUCACCAUCUGAUUACAGUCUUUGCAAGGUACUCCCAUUGGCGUGAUAAACCACAAACGCCCAUCGAAGAAUCCCAACAAACUUACAACAUGGUUCAAGUUCGUAACGAAUCGCAGCGUCUCCUCAGUAAAACUUUCACACGAUUAAAAUAGUUUGUAUUCAUUUUAUUUGUAUAUGUCAAAAUACUUCUUUUUUUCUUUUCUUUCUUUCUUUCCAAAAUAGUGGGUUUUGCAACUAGUUUCAUGCAGAUACAAGGUCUGCUCAGUACUACCAAUAAAAUCAAUAGAGCACAGUA